This 440-nucleotide ribosomal RNA is filed under the name uncultured bacterium. RNAcentral describes it as "partial 16S ribosomal RNA". It matches the Rfam family "Bacterial small subunit ribosomal RNA", at positions 338 to 795 of the family's 1533-position model. The record is from RNAcentral.
CCUACGGGUGGCAGCAGUAGGGAAUAUUGCACAAUGGGGGAAACCCUGAUGCAGCAACGCCGCGUGGGCGAUGAAGGCUUUCGGAUUGUAAACCCCUGUUGUUAGAGAAGAUAAUGACGGUAUCUAACGAAUAAGCACCGGCUAACUCCGUGCCAGCAGCCGCGGUAAUACGGAGGGUGCUAGCGUUACUCGGAAUCACUGGGCGUAAAGAGCGCGUAGGCGGGUUAGCAAGUCAGAUGUGAAAUGCUAAGGCUUAACCGUAGUACUGCAUUUGAAAUUGGUAUACUAGAGUACAGGAGAGGUGAGUGGAAUUCUUGGUGUAGCGGUGAAAUGCGUAGAGAUCAAGAGGAAUACUCAUUGCGAAGGCGACCUGCUGGACCGUAACUGACGCUGAGGCGCGAAAGCGUGGGGAGCAAACAGGAUUAGAUACCCUAGUAGUC